This 253-nucleotide ribosomal RNA is filed under the name uncultured bacterium. RNAcentral describes it as "partial 16S ribosomal RNA". It matches the Rfam family "Bacterial small subunit ribosomal RNA", at positions 524 to 776 of the family's 1533-position model. The record is from RNAcentral.
UACGUAGGGUGCAAGCGUUAAUCGGAAUUACUGGGCGUAAAGCGUGCGCAGGCGGUGAUGUAAGACAGAUGGGAAAUCCCCGGGCUCAACCUGGGAACUGCAUUUGUGACUGCAUCGCUGGAGUGCGGCAGAGGGGGAUGGAAUUCCGCGUGUAGCAGUGAAAUGCGUAGAUAUGCGGAGGAACACCGAUGGCGAAGGCAAUCCCCUGGGCCUGCACUGACGCUCAUGCACGAAAGCGUGGGGAGCAAACAGG